Molecule: ribosomal RNA, 455 nt
Filed under: uncultured bacterium
Lineage: Bacteria
Description: bacterial SSU rRNA
Rfam family: Bacterial small subunit ribosomal RNA
Source: RNAcentral
AACGAACGCUGGCGGCGUGCCUAACACAUGCAAGUCGAGCGCCCGUAGCAAUACGGGAGCGGCAGACGGGAUAGUAACACGUGGGAACGUACCCUUCAGUUCGGAACAACCCAGGGAAACUUGGGCUAAUACCGAAUACGUCCGUAAGGAGAAAGAUUUAUCGCUGAAGGAUCGGCCCGCGUCUGAUUAGCUAGUUGGUGGGGUAAUGGCCCACCAAGGCGACGAUCAGUAGCUGGUCUGAGAGGAUGAUCAGCAUCACUGGGACUGAGACACGGCCCAGACUCCUACGGGAGGCAGCAGUGGGGAAUAUUGGACAAUGGGCGCAAGCCUGAUCCAGCCAUGCCGCGUGGAUGAUGAAGGCCCUAGGGUUGUAAAGUCCUUUCGGCGGGGAAGAUAAUGACGGUACCCGCAGAAGAAGCCCCGGCUAACUUCGUGCCAGCAGCAGCCGCUGUAAC